UACGUAGGGUGCGAGCGUUGUCCGGAAUUAUUGGGCGUAAAGAGCUUGUAGGCGGUCUGUCGCGUCUGCUGUGAAAAUCCGGGGCUCAACCCCGGACUUGCAGUGGGUACGGGCAGACUAGAGUGUGGUAGGGGAGACUGGAAUUCCUGGUGUAGCGGUGAAAUGCGCAGAUAUCAGGAGGAACACCGAUGGCGAAGGCAGGUCUCUGGGCCUCUACUGACGCUGAGAAGCGAAAGCAUGGGGAGCGAACAGG
This 253-nucleotide ribosomal RNA is filed under the name uncultured bacterium. RNAcentral describes it as "partial 16S ribosomal RNA". It matches the Rfam family "Bacterial small subunit ribosomal RNA", at positions 524 to 776 of the family's 1533-position model. The record is from RNAcentral.